This 576-nucleotide ribosomal RNA is filed under the name uncultured bacterium. Its description in RNAcentral is "partial 16S ribosomal RNA". It matches the Rfam family "Bacterial small subunit ribosomal RNA", at positions 355 to 920 of the family's 1533-position model. The record is from RNAcentral.
UGGGGAAUUUUGGACAAUGGGCGAAAGCCUGAUCCAGCAAUGCCGCGUGUGUGAAGAAGGCCUUCGGGUUGUAAAGCACUUUUGUCCGGAAAGAAAUCCUUGGCUCUAAUACAGUCGGGGGAUGACGGUACCGGAAGAAUAAGCACCGGCUAACUACGUGCCAGCAGCCGCGGUAAUACGUAGGGUGCAAGCGUUAAUCGGAAUUACUGGGCGUAAAGCGUGCGCAGGCGGUUUGCUAAGACCGAUGUGAAAUCCCCGGGCUCAACCUGGGAACUGCAUUGGUGACUGGCAGGCUAGAGUAUGGCAGAGGGGGGUAGAAUUCCACGUGUAGCAGUGAAAUGCGUAGAGAUGUGGAGGAAUACCGAUGGCGAAGGCAGCCCCCUGGGCCAAUACUGACGCUCAUGCACGAAAAGCGUGGGGGAGCAAAACAGGAUUAGAUACCCUGGUAGUCCACGCCCUAAAACGAUGUCAACUAGUUGUUGGGGAUUCAUUUCCUUAGUAACGUAGCUAACGCGUGAAGUUGACCGCCUGGGGAGUACGGUCGCAAGAUUAAAACUCAAAUGAAUUGACGGGGUC